This 225-nucleotide long non-coding RNA is filed under the name Elaeis guineensis (African oil palm). RNAcentral describes it as "long non-coding RNA (EGUI_LNC037350)". The record is from RNAcentral. Lineage: Eukaryota; Viridiplantae; Streptophyta; Magnoliopsida; Arecales; Arecaceae.
CCGACUCCAUGGACCUAUAAUCAGCUCUCCAAAGUCUCUAUCCAGUGAUAGGGACCCCAAGGUAGGUCAAAGUCUCGAUAUGCUCAAGGAUCCUCAGCCUAUCCUGAAUUGCCUGCUUCACUUGAGUCUUUGUCUUGGGAUUGAAGACGAUACUGAAUUUCUGUAAAUUCACAUGUUGGUCCGAUACUUAACAGUAAGGCUUGACAAUGGAUGCGAAGUACCUCG